AUGGCAGAAACCCGCUACGAUGCAGAAGAAGAGGUGAACGACCACCCGAUCGAGGAGGUCCGGAACACGGUGCCGAUCACCGACGACCCGUCGGAGCCGUCCCUGACGAUCCGAACAUGGGUGCUGGGGAUGCCGUCCUGCAUGCUUCUGGCCUUCGUCAACGAGUUCUUCAUGUACCGGUCCAACCAGCUGAGCAUCGGCACCGUGGUGGUGCAGAUCGCCACCCUGCCCAUCGGCCGGUUCAUGGCGUCGGCGCUUCCGGCGAAGCUCAUACGCGUCCCGCUCGUCGGCUGGUCCUUCGCCCUCAACCCGGGCCCUUUCAGUCUCAAGGAGCACUGCCUCAUCACCAUCUUCGCCGGCGCGGGCGCCAGCGGCGUCUAUGCCAUGAAUAUCAUCGCCAUCGUCAAGGUCUUCUAUAAGCGGGAGAUCAACCCCUACGCGGCCAUGCUGCUCGCGCAAACAACCCAGUUGCUUGGGUACGGAUGGGCUGGCUUGUUUAGGACGUACCUGGUGGAUUCAGCCUACAUGUGGUGGCCUCUAAACCUUGUCCAGGUCACCCUGUUCAGGGCGAUGCACGAGGAGGAGAAGAGGACCAAGGGGCAGCUGACACGGCUGCAAUUCUUCAUCAUCGUGUUGGUCUGCAGCUUCGCCUACUACCUGAUCCCCAGCUACCUGUUCCCGGCGGCCAGCACCCUCUCGGCGCUCUGCUGGUUCUUCAAGGACUCUGUGACGGCGCAGCAGAUCGGCUCCGGCCUCAAGGGCCUCGGCGUCGGCUCCUUCGGCCUCGACUGGAACACCAUCGCAGGGUUUAUCGGCAACCCGCUCGCCUCCCCGGCGUUCGCCAUCUUCAACAUCAUGGCCGGCUUCUCCCUCGGCAACUAUUUAGCGGUGCCGCUCCUCUACUGGACUAACACGUACAAUGCCAAGCGGUUCCCCAUCGUUUCGUCGCACGUCUUCGACGCUGCCGGCGGCCGCUAUGACACCAACCGCAUCCUCGACCCCAAGACCUUCACGCUCAACCUCCAUGAGUACAACGCCUACAGCCGCAUUAACCUCAGCGUGCUCUUCGCCAUCAACUACGGAUUCGGCUUUGCUGGCCUCAUGUCCACGCUCUCACAUGUUGCCCUCUACCAUGGCAAGGAGAUUUUUGAUCUAUGGCGGAAGACAGCGUCAGAGAAGGGCAAGGAGCAUGAUGUGCACACUAGGAUCAUGAAGAGGAACUACAGGUCUGUUCCGCAGUGGUGGUUCCACCUAAUGUUGGUCCUCGUGCUGGCUCUGUCGUUGUUCACAUGCGAGGGUUUUGGAGGACAGUUGCAACUACCAUAUUGGGGACUCCUCCUCGCUUGUGCCAUCGCCUUAACCUUCACGCUGCCCAUAGGCAUCAUCAGUGCAACGACAAAUAUACAACCUGGAUUAAAUAUCAUCACCGAGCUCAUCAUCGGGUACCUCUACCUUGGGAAGCCAUUGGCCAAUGUAGUAUUCAAGACGUACGGCUACAUAAGCAUGGGGCAGGCACUAACAUUUGUGAAGGAUUUCAAGCUUGGGCAUUACAUGAAGAUACCACCAAGGUCCAUGUUCUUAGUGCAAUUAGCUGGGACCGUCACGGCGUCAACGGUGCACUUCGCGACUGCGUGGUGCCUGCUAACAACGGUGAAGAACGUAUGUGAUGUGGAUGCCCUACCGGAGGGUAGCCCCUGGACGUGUCCAGGAGACGACGUCUUUUACAAUGCAUCCAUCAUCUGGGGUGUCGUUGGACCUUUGCGUAUGUUUGGACGCCUCGGCAACUACUGGCAGAUGAACUACUUCUUCCUCAUCGAGAUCAUUGCACCAGUGCCCAUUUGGCUGCUCUGUCGUCGGUACCCGCACAACACUUUCCUCAAAAGCAUCAAUAUUCCACUCAUCUGCGCCAGCGCCGGUGGACUCCUCCCGGCACGAUCUGUCAACUUUAUCAUGUGGGGACUCGUAGGCAUCAUAUUCAACCACUUUAUAUACAAACGAUACAAGGCGUGGUGGAUGAGGCACACCUACGUGCUCGCUGCAGGGCUUGAUGCCGGUGUCGCGUUCAUGGGAGUGCUCACAUUCAUAUCGCUAGGAUACUUUGACAUCUAUGGGGUGAGGUGGUGGGGUGGUGUUGCCGAUGACCACUGUCCUUUGGCGUCAUGCCCAACGGCACCAGGAGUGAUAGCCAAGGGAUGCCCAGUUGUCAAGUGA
RNAcentral lists this ribosomal RNA (2211 nucleotides) under Triticum aestivum (bread wheat). RNAcentral describes it as "partial small subunit ribosomal RNA". Lineage: Eukaryota; Viridiplantae; Streptophyta; Magnoliopsida; Poales; Poaceae. The record is from RNAcentral.